GACGAACGCUGGCGGCGUGCUUAACACAUGCAAGUCGAACGGUGAAGCGCCUUCCUUUUUGGUGGGUGUGGAUGAGUGGCGAACGGGUGAGUAACACGUGAGUAACCUGCCCCCUUCUUCUGGAUAACCGCAUGAAAGUGUGGCUAAUACGGGAUAUUCUGGGUCUGUCGCAUGAUGGGUCUGGGAAAGAUAUUGUUUCGGUGGGGGAUGGGCUCGCGGCCUAUCAGCUUGUUGGUGGGGUGAUGGCCUACCAAGGCGGUGACGGGUAGCCGGCCUGAGAGGGUGGACGGUCACACUGGGACUGAGACACGGCACAGACUCCUACGGGAGGCAGCAGGGGGGAAUAUUGCACAAUGGGAGGAAGCAUGAUGCAGCGACGCCGCGUGAGGGAUGGAGGACUUCGGGUUGUGAACCUCUUUCGCAAGUGAAGCAGGCCUGCCUCGUUUGUGGGUGGGUUGACGGUAGCUGGAUAAGAAGCGCCGGCUAACUACGUG
Molecule: ribosomal RNA, 494 nt
Filed under: uncultured bacterium
Lineage: Bacteria
Description: partial 16S ribosomal RNA
Rfam family: Bacterial small subunit ribosomal RNA
Source: RNAcentral